GUCAGUCUCCUCCCUCCUUCACUACCAGAAUCACUCCUGUCCUUUCCCGGCCCUCAGGGGACAGGCAGGAAGGGGCGGGCCUAGCCGGGUCAGGACCUCAGGGCGAGGUAGGACUGUCUCAGUAUCUCUUACGUACAGCAGAGAGGCAAAUGCCACCAGCUACAUGCAAAGGGGUGCCAAGGCUGAGCUGCAGAAACAUGUCCUCCAAAGGCAGGGUCACAGGAAGGUAAGGGCAACAGAACUGAACCAUUUCCCGGGGCAGACCUGCCGCAGAGCCUGCACUGUUCCGGGCAUCUUGCAUUUGACUCCGUCGUUCGAUCCCCACGGCAGCGCUCUGACCCGGGUGUUAGCACCAGCCUGGAGAUUUUCAAAUCGAGGCUCAGAACAGGUACCUAUCAAGGCUUCAUCACUGCUGAAGUAGCAGAAGUGGGAUUUGAACCCGGGGCUGCUUGACUCCAGAGUCCAGGAGGACCUCUGAUAGUAAUAACAUUUUACAUUCUGUUUUGUAUUUGGAUCAACUAGCCCAAGAAGUGGUGUUGUCUGCUCUUGAACUUGGCAUACACAAGGGAUUAGCUGAGGACGGCAAGCUUUGUCUUGUCCACACACAGAUUUGAUUUUGAAAUCGCCAGAUUGCAGAUAUUUGAAAGUAGCUUUGCCAAGACUCACGCAGGCGCGUUUGUUUUCCCAAACUUCUGAAAGACAUUCCUCCAUAAAUGAAUCUCCCAGAGGAGAGCGGGUAUUAGAGAGAGGGCGUCCAGGGGCUCCCCACCUCCAACGAGGGCCUCAUCGGGAUAGACGCGCAUCACAACAGGCAUGGACGAGAAAACCAGUGGGUAGAAAAGGGUGCCUCAUCACGUGAGCUCCUAAAAGGGCUUGAGCGUUUUACUCCAAGCGAGCAGUGCUCACCUUCAUGGUAGGCUGAGAGCAAGAGCAUUCGACAGCCUUCCUUCUGUGGCUCCAAAGCCGUCAGAGGUUUACAGAACGUCUAUGUGGAGGUUCGAUCUUACCUUCUACCCGAAGUCCCUCCAACCUGUUUCCCUCAAGGUCUGAACUCUUCCCCCUCUGGAUUUUUGCCUGAAGCUCUCCCUUGAGCAAUAGGCUGUCUAAUGAUAUCCCCAGUUUUCUAGAAUUAAAUAGAGGGACUGCUCUGGAUUGAGUUGUGUUCCCACAAAAUUCAUGUCCACCUGGAGCCUCAGAAUGUGACAUUAUUUGGAAAUAGGGUCUUUGCAGAUGUAAUUAGCUAAGAUGAGGUCAUCCUGAAUUCGGGCGGGCCCUAAAUCCAAUGACUGGUGUCCCUCUAAGAGAGAGGAGAGGGAGAAUUACAGACUCCGGCGAGCAAGAAGGCCAUGUGAGGACAGAGGCAGAGAUUGGAGGGAUGCAUCUCCAGGCCCAAAACACCGAGGACUGCUGGGACCCAUCGGAAGCUGGAAGAAGCAAGGGAGGCUUCUCCCCUAGAGCCUUCAGGGGAAGCAUGGCCCGCUGACACCUUGAGUUUGGACUUCUAGCCGCCAGAACUGUGAGAGAAUACAUUUCUGUUGUUUGAAGUCACCCGUUCAUGGUAAUUAGUUCUGGCAGCCCUAGGAAACUAGUACGGGGGCUCUCAUUUGGCUCUCUAAAUAAAAAGCUUCUUGUAUUAUGAACA
Ursus maritimus (polar bear) is the source of this 1642-nucleotide long non-coding RNA. The record is from Ensembl. Lineage: Eukaryota; Metazoa; Chordata; Mammalia; Carnivora; Ursidae.